AGGGAUGGAGGAGUUAUUAAGAGGGGUGAGGGGGAUGGAAGCAAUAGGAUGGAGUAUGAGCAGGAGCAGAACUAAGGUUCACGUGGAGAUGGAGACAUCUCUGAGGUGAGGGGAGCUGUAGCAGGAGAGCAAUCAAGUAAUAGCGUGCAGAUGCUCUGCACAGGUUAAGCUAGUUUAACUUAACAGUUCUCACAUAUGUCUUUCCCACUCCCCACUUUUGUCUUUAAAAAGUCCAACGUUCAACUGAUCCAAACUGCUUUGGGAAGAAGGAAAGUAAAACAACUGUCCAACUUGGACUCCUGGCUUGAUUCAGCUCUUCUGUUUUCAAGCACUUUACUUGCUGCUUUCCAUGAAGGCCCACAAGACAAACUCAAGAAUUACAGCCCUGUGGUUAAAUAAUGCAUACACAUAACAACAGCCAAACAAAAACACCCCUUAUUAUUAAAUAUACAUCUGCUCACCUAAGCAAGGGGUUAGGGCUGGUUCGACUUCUGUCUUAUGCAUUAGACAGACAUCCAUCCUCUCUCUCAGGGUCUACUCACAGCAGAGUAGCUUCCUGACCACACCUACCAGUCAGCCUGAACCAAGUACUACACUCUGCAGCGGUGUGUGUGUGUGUUAUACAGCCACAAUAUAUUGCAUUUAUAUUGCACCUUUCUUCCAUAGUGGAACUCAAGGUUGUGUUCUGGGGUUCCCAGGAGGCCUCCUGGCCAGGGACUAACCACGAGGCCAAUGACUGUUUUUUGAGUCCUUAGACUGAGCUCUGGGACAAGCUAAGGAACGACCAUUUGACUGUUUUGCUCCAUUCCAGAAGAACAAGGGUUCUCCCCUUUUAGCCUACAGGAAGGAAUAACAUAGCAAGUGGAAUGUGCUGGAAAUGUGGCAGUCCAGUGACGUGGCUGGAAAUUGGUGUGCAGCUGACGAGGGGGAGCAGUUCAACAUGUAAACUAUUUAUAGUUUAUUUGGGUUUCCAUUUAAAAGUCAAGUCUCUACAGGAAAAGAUAUCCCUCAGGAGAAUUGCUAUGGAAAUAUGCAUCAUGGGUCAUCACCGCCCCAACUGUUGUGGAGCAAAACUGAAGUCCAGCUUGCUUCAGCAUUUGGAGGAGGAAGAAGGGUAAAGAACAGAUGGAAGAGGAAUCGGCACCUUUCCCCACAACAUAUCCAUUGUUAAAGAAGGAGUGAUCUCUGGAUUGCAAUCUGGCAAACUUUCUCACAGACCAGUAAUAUGAAGUGUACAGUAAUGCACACCUCUAAUUGCACAAGCAUGUCUGGCUCUUUCUUUUCCUCUUUAGCAUCUCUCACACAAACUGUUUACAAACUCCUCUGAGAUUAAGGCUCCAGCCCAGUGGGGAGUAAGCCCCACUGAAGACAGUGUGAAUUACUUUGAAGUAAACAUGCUGUACAUGAUUCUGCUGUAAAAACAUAGUUCAACACGAGGAGGCAGACUGAAGAGGAAACAGGUGCAGGAGCUCAGGCAGGCUCGCAGGCAGAUUGACUAUGCACUUAGUCCUAGAUUGUGGCCCUGCCUUUACAUCUUUCUACAAAGAGUCCACAAAGUAUCAUUACUGUAAACUCAUGAUUUUUUAUGUAUGAAGGGAGAAGGAGUUGCUGCAAAAUGAAUCUGUAUUUAUAGAAAACAUUUCUCCUCUGUUUUUCUUUCAUUCAAUCCAUGGCAGCAAUGGAACAAAUAAAAUUGUAUAAACCA
Molecule: long non-coding RNA, 1705 nt
Organism: Hemicordylus capensis (graceful crag lizard)
Lineage: Eukaryota; Metazoa; Chordata; Lepidosauria; Squamata; Cordylidae
Exons: 4
Source: RefSeq, a predicted model, not a curated record